Molecule: ribosomal RNA, 468 nt
Filed under: uncultured bacterium
Lineage: Bacteria
Description: partial 16S ribosomal RNA
Rfam family: Bacterial small subunit ribosomal RNA
Source: RNAcentral
GAUGAACGCUGGCGGCGUGCUUAACACAUGCCAGUCGAACGGAAAGGCCGAAGCUUGCUUCGGUACUCGAGUGGCGAACGGGUGAGUAACACGUGUGUGAUCUGCCCUGUACUUCGGGAUAAGCUUGGGAAACUGGGUCUAAUACCGGAUAUGACGAUCUCUUGGAUGGGGUUGUGGAAAGCUUUUGCGGUAUGGGAUGAGCUCGCGGCCUAUCAGCUUGUUGGUGGGGUAAUGGCCUACCAAGGCGUCGACGGGUAGCCGGCCUGAGAGGGUGUACGGCCACAUUGGGACUGAGAUACGGCCCAGACUCCUACGGGAGGCAGCAGUGGGGAAUAUUGCACAAUGGGCGCAAGCCUGAUGCAGCGACGCCGCGUGGGGGAUGACGGCCUUCGGGUUGUAAACUCCUUUCGCAAUCGACGAAGCCUUUUGGUGACGGUAGGUUGAGAAGAAGCACCGGCUAACUACGUG